Molecule: ribosomal RNA, 274 nt
Filed under: uncultured bacterium
Lineage: Bacteria
Description: partial 16S ribosomal RNA
Rfam family: Bacterial small subunit ribosomal RNA
Source: RNAcentral
AUACGGAGGGUGCAAGCGUUACUCGGAAUCACUGGGCGUAAAGCGCGCGCAGGCGGCUAUUUAAGUUGGAUGUGAAAGCCUACGGCUCAACCGUAGAACUGCAUCCAAAACUAUUUAGCUAGAGUGUGGGAGAGGUAGAUGGAAUUAGUUGUGUAGGGGUAAAAUCCGUAGAGAUAACUAGGAAUACCAAAAGCGAAGGCAAUCUUCUGGAACACUACUGACGCUGAGGCGCGAAAGCGUGGGGAGCAAACAGGAUUAGAAACCCCAGUAGUCC